CUGUGAAGGAGGUGGAAGAGGAGCCAAAGGCGGGAGCCGCAGGUUUGCAAAGAGCUUCUUAUACUAAUUCAUUUGAUUCUCACUGUGACCCUGGGAAGUCAGUGAUCUUACUUCACCCCAUUUCACAGAUGAGGAAACCAAGGCAAGGAGAAAGAAAAUGACAUACCCAGCAUUACACAGCUAGUAUCUGAGUUGGUGACCUCAGCAUCCUCUGCUAACACUGC
RNAcentral lists this long non-coding RNA (224 nucleotides) under Monodelphis domestica (gray short-tailed opossum). Its description in RNAcentral is "lncRNA (ENSMODG00000048307.1)". The record is from RNAcentral. Lineage: Eukaryota; Metazoa; Chordata; Mammalia; Didelphimorphia; Didelphidae.